UUAAAUUUUAAAUUUCAUAAUUAUUUUAAAUUUUAAAUUUUUAAAAUUUUAAAUUAUUUUUAAAAUUAAAAUAUCAAAUUUUAAAUUUUGUAUAAUUUUGAAAUUUAAAAAUUUUAAUUUUAAUUCAAAUUUAAAUUUAGAUUUUAAAUUAUUUUAAAAUAAAAUUUAAUAAAAAUAUUAAUUUAUGCAAGUAUCAAAAAAAAUUUGCCAAACAGCUUUUUAAAAUUACUUCAGAAAAAUCACUUUUAUCUAAACUACACCAAACGCUCUACAGCUUUUAACCAAAAUCACUUUUCCAAAUUAAAAUCACUUUUUUCAGAAAUUACUUUUUCAGAAACUAGGCAAAACAGGCCCGAAUACUGA
Molecule: long non-coding RNA, 363 nt
Filed under: Ananas comosus (pineapple)
Lineage: Eukaryota; Viridiplantae; Streptophyta; Magnoliopsida; Poales; Bromeliaceae
Description: long non-coding RNA (ACOM_LNC011083)
Source: RNAcentral